AGACUGUAAGGGCCAUCUGGCUGUGACAUCUGUCACCCCACUGAUCGCCAGGGUUGAUUGGCUGAUCUGGCUGGCUGGCUGGCUGGGUGUCCCCUUCCUCCCUCACUGCUCUGUGUGCAUCCCUCCCAGACUGAAGUUUACCCUGGGGACACUGAGCACUGGGGAUGAGCUGUUCUAUUAAUCCCUGACUUAUAGCAUUAUAUUUGCAGGUCAGAACAUAGGGAGGAACUGAAAGGCUGAUUGAUAAGAGGAAAAACGAGACGAAGUUGUUUUGUUGAAAUAC
RNAcentral lists this small RNA (283 nucleotides) under Neogale vison (American mink). RNAcentral describes it as "Neovison vison (American mink) 7SK RNA (ENSNVIG00000003501.1)". The stretch from base 2 to 182 matches the Rfam family "7SK RNA". From Rfam's summary of the family: 7SK was discovered as an abundant small nuclear RNA in the mid-70s but a possible function has only recently been suggested. Two independent studies have found that 7SK RNA binds the CDK9/cyclin T complex (known as elongation factor P-TEFb). Lineage: Eukaryota; Metazoa; Chordata; Mammalia; Carnivora; Mustelidae. The record is from RNAcentral.